UUUAAAAUCUCUAUAACAUCGAUGAACGGACACACGAAGGGAGUGUGUAGAGCGGGUGCCGAUGUGUGUUUAAUCGAUCGCCCGGCAACACACAUUGCACUAUUGCAGCAACUCGAUUCCUAUCAUCAGUCAUAGAUGGCGUAGACCCGCUCAAAUUCAACAAAGGAAAUAAAUAACAAAGCCAUUUUUUUUAUUGUUUUUAACUAGAUAUUAUACUAGACGUCAGUAAACAAUGAAAGGUUUAAAUGUAUGUAAAUUCAAGUGUGGUGGAGGUAGGGAGUGAAAAUGAAUUUCAAGAUGGCCGAUUUCUUGCCUUCUUUCCUCCCGUUUCUAUUUGAUUCUCGUUGGCAAGGGGGAGCGUCUUUCGGUGUUUGUUAUGAUUUUGUGUCGUCUCGGUCAAAUGUUUCAAGUUCUUGCCAAUUGUUCUAUCCUAUCUGUUAUUUCUUUCUUUCCUUCUUUCUUAGCAGCCUGUGUGUGACGUGUGACUGCCAGGACUUUUAUAUCACGAAGCAAAGAAAAGGCAUUUGCUGGAGGAGAGCUGUCAUCAACAUUCAUUUUGCUUCUACAUUUUUUAGGAUCAUGUGACGUCAAUGCUUCUUGUUUUCCAACCACUGUUGAGGCGUUCCGAUGGCAGCCUGUCACACAUUCAAUUGGUUCAAGGACAAUGUGGGACAACAGUGCUGGCCACAACUUGGGGAGACUACUAACAGUUGUCCAGGGUGGUCAACACAACACUUGCUGGUCAAAUCUGAUCUUCUGUUCAAAUGUUAAAAGAAGAUUGGCCAGUUGAUGGCAGCCUGCACCAAUGCUGCCGAGACAAGUUCAUUCACCAACACCUACUACGUUCCUCUAAAUGAUGAAAGAGAAAACAAAUCCUCAGAAGCAAGAGUGUAUGUAUUGGACCAGAAAAUGAAUUGUUGCUGGAAGCUCAAAUAGUUUGUGCCAUUUUCCAAAACAAUGCCCUUAAACUGUGCAGCGAACUGAGCGACAAUGUGGUCCAGCAAUUCGCUCAGUGCAUCGAGACCACACGCCGUCACGUGGAAUAUCUCCCCUUUCUGCCAACGAUCGUGAAAGCGGAAGGCCAAAUCAUCCGUAAGAACUGGUCGGGGAGGAAGUACUCUUCUUUUACAACGUCAAUAAGGCCUUGUUCUACGACUUUCUCGACAUGAUGAGUGCCGAACGGUACCGGCUGGAACUCAGCACUGGAAGCAGCGGAGCUCUCAAGUAAAACCAAAAGAAACCUAAUUCCCUAAAAGCUUCGAACUUAUUCCGUCUUUUUUAGUUACCACAUUAAAGUUGAAUUUCUAUUUCAUUGAAGGUGGAUUAAACAUACUGAACGACAGCGUGAGUCGUGGCGACAAUGAGUACGCUGAAAGGAUCCUAGCGUCCAGAAUUUUUUUUUUUUUUAAUCACGUCGUGCACAUCGUUUGCAAUCGCCUUCCAUUCUUUUUUGCUGUCCGUUGAGCGUUGCAGUAGGAAUUUUACUGUUCAAGCAAUGUUGUGUCCACACUAACAUAUGCGCUCAGCAAUUCAAUUAGCGAUUGACCUGAAUAUCAAUUACAACACGUGUUAUUGACUCCGCAGCCGUGGUUUAGUAUUUUUAUUUUUGUUUGCGCUGCCAGCGUUGUGCUCGAGAAACACUGCUGUGAUGUCAAUAACAUUGGUUUUAAUAUUGAUAUCCAGGUCAAUCCUUCAUGAAAACCGACUGCGCAUUUUUUUUUUUAAUAAAUAGGAUGCAAGGAUAGUGAUCGCCACUAUUAAGAAAUACUGUUACCUGUAUAUAAAAGGUGAAUGACUGAUUGGCAUAUCUAUCUGAAUUCGUUCGAUCAACAAACACGAUACAGAUGCAACAAUUUGUACUUGUUAAAUAAAUAUAGCCGGAACCUGGUUGUCGAAUUCCUUAUAAAAGCGUCUAAUGUUCCCAUUCGCUUUAUUGUUCGUGAUCAACAUUCAUUUAAAAGUAGAUUCUGAAUAAAAUUGUCUUUAGUACGAGCCGCCAUGAAUCCCGCACUACUGGUCAAUGUGAUAUUCGUUCUUGUCAUUGCCUCUCCUGUGGCUAGAUCGCAACCUUUACGUCCGAAUGGAAACCACUCUGAUCUCCCUGAUUCAAUAUCAUUCGCCGUAUCAGAAGUACAUGAAGUUGCCCCCAUUGCUGAAGCUGCGACAGAUGCCGUUCCUGAAAUUGCAGUUGUCGCCGAAGAAGAAGUUCUGGUCGUUGUUCCGGAAACGGAGCCUGUCGUCGAGCAAGUCGUCGUCGUUCCAGAACCGGAAGCUGUUGUCGAGCAAGUUGUCGUAACCUAGAAGCCAGCAGCAGUUGAAGAGUUGUCUCUUGAAUAUCUUCCUCCAGUCGUUUCCAUCGCCGAAGUGAAACCAGAAGUUAAAUUUUGUUGGUUUGGGGAAAAGUGGACAUCAAUAAUUUUUAAUCAUUAAAAUAAAAUGACAGUUUGACUGUG
RNA transcript from Daphnia pulicaria, 2453 nucleotides. RefSeq lists it as uncharacterized. NCBI's taxonomy places the organism in Eukaryota, Metazoa, Arthropoda, Branchiopoda, Diplostraca, Daphniidae. The record is from RefSeq and is a predicted model, not a curated record. The transcript has 6 exons.